AAAAGAGAGGGGUCGGUCGACAGAGAAGGAGAGAGAGUGAAGAAAUUAAAGGAGAGAUUGAGAGCGGAAGUGGAAGAAACGUGUGACUGAAGAAGCUCUUACCGAGCUAGGAGAAGAUGGAGACUGGAGGUAAAUAAAUUCUGAAUUUUAGACUUUGUAUGGCGAUAUGGUGUGAAUUUACAUCUGGUUGAUUUAAUGGUUGAUUGCUGAUUCUGAAGGAGUAAAGAGGCAGAGAAUGGUGAAUAUAACAUGUAUAAGGGUAGAGGGACGAAAGGUGAGGUGGAUGGCAGGAAUGUGAAAACAUGGGUUAGGGGAUAGAGAUUGUUUAGUUGUGAAAGUGAAAGGAGGAGGUCAACCGCAGAGAAAAAGUGUGGUAAAUAGUGUGAUUAGGUUCUUUCGGUGAAGGAGGAGCUGAGGUAAAAUGUGUGUGAAGUAGAGGCGCUAAGUAGGAGAGUGAGUCUACAUGAAACCGGGAAUGAUGAUGUGCGUUGUUGUUUCGAAGUCUUGAGGUGCCGAAAUUGGUGUCGGUGAUUCAGAGUGUUGGUGCGCCGAUAUUGGCGACAGCGGAGGGAGAAAGUUUGAUGCAUCAAUACUGGUGCUAGUGAAAAUAUGCGUUUGUGGCUAACUGGGAGCCGAGGUGUGUGAGUGUGGACUAUAUCCUGUGAGUUCAGGAAAUGUGUAUGUGUUUGUAUAUGUGUAUAUUGCGGAUUUUUGUGUGUGGCCGACUGGGGGCCAAUGUGCUGGUGUAUGAAUUGUGUUUUAUGACAUUCUGGUUAUGUGACUGAAUGGGCAAGUGUGGUGUGUGUGGCUGGUUGAGGCCGGAUGUGUGUAUGUGGCAAAAAUUAAGGUCGGUGAGUGUGUGUGUGUGGGGCAAAAAUUAAGGCCGUUAAGUGUGUGUGUGUCGCUGAGUGAAGGUUGGUGUGUGUGGCUGGUUGAGGCUGGAAUAUGCAUAUGUGGUAAAAAUUAAGGCCAGUGAGUGUGUGUGGAUGAGUUAGAGUCACCGUGUGUAUGUGAGGCUAAAUUUAAGCCGGUGCGCGUGUGUGGAUAAAUUUGAGUCGAUGUGUGUGUGUGUGGUGGCUAAACUAGGGCCAAAGUAUGGAGGUAGGAGAAGCGGUUGAUAAUUGGUGGUGGUGCAGUUGUUGGAGGUAUGUGGGUGUGGGUGGCAUUGGGGUUGAAAACAUAUAGGACUAGUGUAGGUGUAUGUGUGGCCAAGCAAAGGAUGUUAUGUGUGGAAGGGAG
RNAcentral lists this long non-coding RNA (1239 nucleotides) under Carica papaya (papaya). RNAcentral's name for it is "long non-coding RNA (CPAP_LNC014685)". The record is from RNAcentral. Lineage: Eukaryota; Viridiplantae; Streptophyta; Magnoliopsida; Brassicales; Caricaceae.